This 902-nucleotide non-coding RNA is filed under the name Ischnocnema bolbodactyla (Rio robber frog). RNAcentral describes it as "partial 12S ribosomal RNA". It matches the Rfam family "Bacterial small subunit ribosomal RNA", at positions 193 to 1510 of the family's 1533-position model. Lineage: Eukaryota; Metazoa; Chordata; Amphibia; Anura; Brachycephalidae. The record is from RNAcentral.
UCCUAACUUUAAAAUCAAUUUUCCACUAACUUAUACAUGCAAGUCUCCUCACCCCUGUGAGUAUGCCCCCUUAUUUCUAACCCAAAAUGGGGAGCCGGUAUAAGGCAUAAUAGUUUACCCAAGACACCAAGCAAUAGCCACACCCACAAGGGUUUCAGCAGUAAUUAACAUUAGACAUAAGCGUCAGCUUGAUCUAGUUAGGAGGUUCCCAGGGUCGGCCAAACUGGUGCCAGCCGCCGCGGUUACACCACGAGACCCAAACUGAUUUUCUUCGGCGUAAAGCGUGGUUAAGGUUAUAGACUAGUAAAGUUAAACUUGUACUAGGCAGUGACAUGCCUGAUAAAAAGAAACUCAUAAACGAAAGUUACUUUAUACUAAUACCUGAACCCACGACAGCCAGGGGACAAACUAGGAUUAGAUACCCUACUAUGCCCGGCUAUAAACUUUAAAUUACCCUCACAUCGCCAAGGGACUACGAGCAACGCUUGAAACCUAAAGGACCUGACGGUACCCCACAUCCUUCUAGAGGAGCCUGUCCUGUAAUUGAUAACCCCCGCUUAACCUCACCACCCCUAGCCUCUCAGCCUGUAUACCUCCGUCCCAGCUCACCCUGUGAAUGAGUCAGUAAGCCUAAACGUCCUAAACCAACACAUCAGGUCAAGGUGCAGCAAAUGGGGCGGGAAGAGAUGGGCUACACUUUCUACCCUAGAAAAUACGAAAAGUCACUAUGCAACCUGACCAGAAGGUGGAUUUAGUAGUAAAAAGAGAACAGAGUGCUCUUUUUAACCCGGCACUGGGGUGUGUACACACCGCCCGUCGCCCUCCUCAAAACGCAACAAGUAGUAACUAACAAACCUAGGUGACAAGAGGAGGUAAGUCGUAACAUGGUAAGUAUACCGGAA